This 86-nucleotide transfer RNA is filed under the name Muribaculum sp. Its description in RNAcentral is "tRNA-Val". It matches the Rfam family "tRNA". Rfam says of the family: Transfer RNA (tRNA) molecules are approximately 80 nucleotides in length. Their secondary structure includes four short double-helical elements and three loops (D, anti-codon, and T loops). Lineage: Bacteria; Pseudomonadati; Bacteroidota; Bacteroidia; Bacteroidales; Muribaculaceae. The record is from RNAcentral.
GGGGAAAUAGCUCAAUGGAUAGAGCGCGCAUGGAGCGAUUCACGAUUAUGGCCAUGUCGAUGCCGGUUCGAGUCCGGCUUUCCUCC